CCUACGGGCGGCAGCAGUGGGGAAUAUUGGACAAUGGGGGCAACCCUGAUCCAGCCAUGCCGCGUGUGUGAAGAAGGCCCUCGGGUUGUAAAGCACUUUCAGUGAGGAAGAACGCCUGGUGGUUAAUACCCAUCAGGAAAGACAUCACUCACAGAAGAAGCACCGGCUAACUCCGUGCCAGCAGCCGCGGUAAUACGGAGGGUGCGAGCGUUAAUCGGAAUUACUGGGCGUAAAGCGCGCGUAGGUGGCUUGAUAAGCCGGUUGUGAAAGCCCCGGGCUCAACCUGGGAACGGCAUCCGGAACUGUCAAGCUAGAGUGCAGGAGAGGAAGGUAGAAUUCCCGGUGUAGCGGUGAAAUGCGUAGAGAUCGGGAGGAACACCAGUGGCGAAGGCGGCCUUCUGGACUGACACUGACACUGAGGUGCGAAAGCGUGGGUAGCAAACAGGAUUAGAUACCCUAGUAGUC
This 465-nucleotide ribosomal RNA is filed under the name Vreelandella stevensii. Its description in RNAcentral is "partial 16S ribosomal RNA". It matches the Rfam family "Bacterial small subunit ribosomal RNA", at positions 338 to 795 of the family's 1533-position model. The record is from RNAcentral. Lineage: Bacteria; Pseudomonadati; Pseudomonadota; Gammaproteobacteria; Oceanospirillales; Halomonadaceae.